This is a non-coding RNA of Rattus norvegicus (Norway rat), 243 nucleotides long. Lineage: Eukaryota; Metazoa; Chordata; Mammalia; Rodentia; Muridae. The record is from RefSeq and is a predicted model, not a curated record.
AGCCCAAAUGUCAUUUGUCCUUCGAAAAAAACUGCUCACAUCAAGAAAUAAUUGGCAACGGCUAUAUUGGGUUUUUUGGACUUUUUGUGUGUAUACUCACUACAACUUAGGCGAAGUAACAGGGUCAAAGAGGUUCCUUGUAAAAGGAUGAACAUUACCUACUUCCCAAGACUACUGUAAGGAUUAAAUUAACAAAUAUAUGAAGGUACUUUCUACAAUAAAAUGCACAUUAAAUAUUCUUUA